Molecule: ribosomal RNA, 447 nt
Filed under: uncultured bacterium
Lineage: Bacteria
Description: partial 16S ribosomal RNA
Rfam family: Bacterial small subunit ribosomal RNA
Source: RNAcentral
CCAGACUCCUACGGGAGGCAGCAGUGGGGAAUAUUGCACAAUGGGGGAAACCCUGAUGCAGCAACGCCGCGUGAAGGAAGACGGUUUUCGGAUUGUAAACUUCUAUCAAUAGGGAAGAAAGAAAUGACGGUACCUAAAUAAGAAGCCCCGGCUAACUACGUGCCAGCAGCCGCGGUAAUACGUAGGGGGCAAGCGUUAUCCGGAUUUCCUGGGUGUAAAGGGGGCGUAGACGGCCAUGCAAGCCAGGGGUGAAAGCCCGGGGCCCAACCCCGGGACUGCCCUUGGAACUGCAUGGCUGGAGUGCGGGAGGGGCAGGCGGAAUUCCUGGUGUAGCGGUGAAAUGCGUAGAUAUCAGGAGGAACACCGGCGGCGAAGGCGGCCUGCUGGACCGCGACUGACGUUGAGGCUCGAAAGCGUGGGGAGCGAACAGGAUUAGAUACCCCAGUA